GACCCAACUAUCAAGCUAAGAUAUAUGGAGCUGAGCUAUUUAUGUCCAGUCUAAUGUGCGGCCAAUCUAGCAUGUGAGCUUCCUCCAUAACCUCGAAUAGCCAAUUUUCUAGCACAUGCAGUAGCUGUUCACCCUAAGUGGAUAAGUUCGAACGUAACUAACUCCUCUCAUGGGAACAGAUAUGCCAAAAUAUCUCGCCCACUAACAGCACAUCCAACAGUCCGACAACCUCAAAACCGCAUGUUUCCAUGGUUGUUCAGCCAUAUCCUCUAUAAAUAACUAAAGCUCCGAGGACCCAAAUAAGGAACCCCUUUCAGAGAACGAGUUCCUGCUUCUACUAUUCUC
Molecule: long non-coding RNA, 345 nt
Filed under: Elaeis guineensis (African oil palm)
Lineage: Eukaryota; Viridiplantae; Streptophyta; Magnoliopsida; Arecales; Arecaceae
Description: long non-coding RNA (EGUI_LNC015356)
Source: RNAcentral